UUAGCGGCGGACGGGUGAGUAACACGUGGGCAACCUGCCCUGCAGAUCGGGAUAACUCCGGGAAACCGGUGCUAAUACCGAAUAGUUUGCGGCCUCUCCUGAGGCUGCACGGAAAGACGGUUUCGGCUGUCACUGCAGGAUGGGCCCGCGGCGCAUUAGCUAGUUGGUGGGGUAAUGGCCCACCAAGGCGACGAUGCGUAGCCGACCUGAGAGGGUGAUCGGCCACACUGGGACUGAGACACGGCCCAGACUCCUACGGGAGGCAGCAGUAGGGAAUCUUCCGCAAUGGACGAAAGUCUGACGGAGCAACGCCGCGUGAGUGACGAAGGUUUUCGGAUCGUAAAACUCUGUUGUGAGGGAAGAACAAGUACCAMGUAACUACUGGUACCUUGACGGUACCUCACCAGAAAGCCACGGCUAACUACGUGCCAGCAGCCGCGGUAAUACGUAGGUGGCAAGCGUUGUCCGGAAUUAUUGGGCGUAAAGCGCGCGCAGGCGGUCCCUUAAGUCUGAUGUGAAAGCCCACGGCUCAACCGUGGAGGGUCAUUGGAAACUGGGGGACUUGAGUGCAGAAGAGGAAAGUGGAAUUCCAUGUGUAGCGGUGAAAUGCGUAGAGAUGUGGAGGAACACCAGUGGCGAAGGCGACUUUCUGGUCUGUAACUGACGCUGAGGCGCGAAAGCGUGGGGAGCAAACAG
Molecule: ribosomal RNA, 696 nt
Filed under: Planococcus sp. CY-C3-5
Lineage: Bacteria; Bacillati; Bacillota; Bacilli; Caryophanales; Caryophanaceae
Description: bacterial SSU rRNA
Rfam family: Bacterial small subunit ribosomal RNA
Source: RNAcentral